AGACGCACCACUUUGUUGAGCUGCAGAUGUGGUCGCCACACUAACUUUGCGCGUUGUAAUAACUGUGCGUUUUAUUCUUUCCAGUUGUUCACGUUUUCUACGAUGUACAAACACAUUUUAUGCAAAGUUUGUAAACAACUCGGAACCCAUAUGGACCUACAACACUACUGGGCUAGCACACAUACGCUGCCAGUGUUAUCUGAUGCGUUCCAUACAACCAAUGUUCAUUGAGUUCAACAGAACGCACUUGUAUCGUAACCAAGUCGUUCGCGUGGCACAACGGGGACAGUUUAGUACGGCGUUGGCAGAACGGAUGACUGUCAGUGAUGUGGGUGGGUUACAACUGUCUGUUGAAUAUUUAUUAUAUAAGGCUCCGGAUUCUUCGUGCGCCGUUAUUAAAGUGCGGUAUUCUUUCGGUCGUGUCCUCGACCAUCACGAUCUCCGUGUGAGACAUUCUUCAGUUGCAGCCGGCCCUCGCCUAAGGUGUAAAAGGUGGUUCUCUCAAGUCGCGCCUCACGGCAGAGUCAUCUAUCGUAGACAUUGUGAGAGCUUAUUUCGGCCACGAGAGUGAUUCCGUAUCAGCAUUCGUGCGAUCCAUCAUUUGCCUGUUAAAAUUCACUUGAAUGUGCUGGAACGGAUGACUAGUGUCAUAUAAACGUAAAGUGUCAUGCUUAUAAUAAAA
RNAcentral lists this long non-coding RNA (682 nucleotides) under Dermacentor andersoni. RNAcentral's name for it is "uncharacterized LOC126534069". Lineage: Eukaryota; Metazoa; Arthropoda; Arachnida; Ixodida; Ixodidae. The record is from RNAcentral.